Molecule: ribosomal RNA, 497 nt
Filed under: uncultured bacterium
Lineage: Bacteria
Description: partial 16S ribosomal RNA
Rfam family: Bacterial small subunit ribosomal RNA
Source: RNAcentral
GAUGAACGCUGGCGGCGUGCCUAAUACAUGCAAGUCGAGCGAACGGACGAGAAGCUUGCUUCUCUGAUGUUAGCGGCGGACGGGUGAGUAACACGUGGAUAACCUACCUAUAAGACUGGGAUAACUUCGGGAAACAGGAGCUAAUACCGGAUAAUAUUUUGAACCGCAUGGUUCAAAAGUGAAAGACGGUCUUGCUGUCACUUAUAGAUGGAUCCGAGCUGCAUUAGCUAGUUGGUAAGGUAACGGCUUACCAAGGCAACGAUGCAUAGCCGACCUGAGAGGGUGAUCGGCCACACUGGAACUGAGACACGGUCCAGACUCCUACGGGAGGCAGCAGUAGGGAAUCUUCGGCAAUGGGCGAAAGCCUGACGGAGCAACGCCGCGUGAGUGAUGAAGGUCUUCGGAUCGUAAAACUCUGUUAUUAGGGAAGAACAUAUGUGUAAGUAACUGUGCACAUCUUGACGGUACCUAAUCAGAAAGCCACGGCUAACUACGUG